AUUGAACGCUGGCGGCAGGCCUAACACAUGCAAGUCGAACGAGUGGCGGACGGGUGAGUAAUGUCUGGGAAACUGCCCGAUGGAGGGGGAUAACUACUGGAAACGGUAGCUAAUACCGCAUACCAUCGGAUGUGCCCAGAUGGGAUUAGCUUGUAGGUGAGGUAACGGCUCACCUAGGCGACGAUCCCUAGCUGGUCUGAGAGGAUGACCAGCGACACUGGAACUGUGAAACGGGCCAAACAACACUGGGAGGCAGCAGUGGGGAUGAGUGCACAAUGGGCGAAAGCCUGAUGCAGACAUGCCGCGAGUAGGAAGAAGGCCUUCGGGUUGGAAAGUAAUUUCAGCGGGGAGGCGGUACCCGAAGAAGAAGCACCGGCUAACUCCGUGCCAGCAGCCGCGGUAAUUC
This 406-nucleotide ribosomal RNA is filed under the name uncultured bacterium. Its description in RNAcentral is "partial 16S ribosomal RNA". It matches the Rfam family "Bacterial small subunit ribosomal RNA", at positions 29 to 526 of the family's 1533-position model. The record is from RNAcentral.